UACGGAGGGGGCUAGCGUUGUUCGGAAUUACUGGGCGUAAAGCGUGCGCAGGCGGCUUCUCAAGUCAGGGGUGAAAGCCCAGAGCUCAACUCUGGAAUUGCCUUUGAGACUGAGUGGCUUGAGUACGAGAGAGGUGAGUGGAAUUCCCAGUGUAGAGGUGAAAUUCGUAGAUAUCGGGAGGAACACCUGUGGCGAAGGCGGCUUUCUGGGCCUUACCUGACGCUGAGACGCGAAAGCGUGGGGAGCGAACCGG
Molecule: ribosomal RNA, 253 nt
Filed under: uncultured bacterium
Lineage: Bacteria
Description: partial 16S ribosomal RNA
Rfam family: Bacterial small subunit ribosomal RNA
Source: RNAcentral